Molecule: ribosomal RNA, 292 nt
Filed under: uncultured bacterium
Lineage: Bacteria
Description: partial 16S ribosomal RNA
Rfam family: Bacterial small subunit ribosomal RNA
Source: RNAcentral
GUUUCAGCCGCCGCGGUAAUACAGAGGUCUCAAGCGUUGUUCGGAUUCAUUGGGCGUAAAGGGUGCGUAGGCGGCGGGGCAAGUCAGGUGUGAAAUCCCGGAGCUCAACUCCGGAACUGCAUUUGAUACUGCCUCGCUAGAGUACUGGAGAGGAGACUGGAAUUUACGGUGUAGCAGUGAAAUGCGUAGAGAUCGUAAGGAAGACCAGUGGCGAAGGCGAGUCUCUGGACAGUUACUGACGCUGAGGCACGAAGGCCAGGGGAGCAAACGGGAUUAGAAACCCCCGUAGUCC